AUGAGAAUAAGGGGAGAGACUAUAGAUUUUAUAGCGCCGAAGGAGCAAACAACUGUGAAUCUCUCAGGCAAAAAGACUCUUAUUUGACG
This 89-nucleotide non-coding RNA is filed under the name Metabacillus harenarius. RNAcentral's name for it is "Bacillus weihaiensis Glycine sequence". It matches the Rfam family "Glycine riboswitch aptamer". From Rfam's summary of the family: This family represents the bacterial glycine riboswitch. Glycine riboswitches usually consist of two metabolite-binding aptamers domains with similar structures in tandem. The record is from Rfam by way of RNAcentral. Lineage: Bacteria; Bacillati; Bacillota; Bacilli; Caryophanales; Bacillaceae.